ACGGAUCUGUCAAUCAUAAAUUAAACCAUAACAUUAGAACAUCAGAUGACGGGAAAACAAAAAGGGCAUGGAUGAUUGACAUAUGUCAAUGAAAAAUCGGAUGUACCCUUCUCCUUGCAGAAAAAAGAGAAAGAAAAGAAGUUGAAGAAGGAGAAGAAGUUGAAGAAGGAGAAGAAGUUGAAGAAGGAGAAGAAGUUGAAGAAGGAGAAGAAGUUGAAGAAGGAGUAGAAGUUGAAGCCGAAGGAGAAGAAGUUGAAGGAGAAGAAGUUGAAGAAGGAGAAGAAGUUAUAGAAGGAGAAGAAGUUGAAGAAGGAGAAUGUGAAGGUGGAGAAGAAGGCGCAGGAGAUGGCAAAGGAGAAGGCGAAGAAGAAGGCGAAGGAAAAUGAAAAGGAGAAGGAGCUAGGAAGAAGGAUUGAGAGAGUUGGAGAAGCAAAUGGAGGAAAAGAAAACAAUAUUGUCCUUACCAGCGCAGAAUCUGUUUUUAUGGGUGCUGAAAUUACACACUGAAUUCCACAGGAUACAAACUGAAUAAGCGAAAAGACACACAGAAUUCGGAAAGCAAUUCUCCAUCCAUGUAACUCUAAAAAAUGCUCCACUGCUGCUGAAAGAGCCAGUGUACCCAAGCCAGAUCCAGACAAAGUUAAACCAUUCGCAGUAACAAGACGCUUGCAAAAGUAUUCAUUCAAUAUCAAUAUUGAUGUGUAAUAGCACAGACUUCCACCAAAUCCAACCAUUACGGAAUAUGUCAGAAACAUCCGGCUCAGGUCAUCUACAAAAGAUGUUAAGAGAAGCCCAAGACUGAAGAAGACACUGCCUAUAAAUAAGGCAACACGGUUUCCAAGCUUAUGGCAUAUGAUCGUUGUUAUUGGUCCCAAUACGAACGAUAGGCCAAAUGCCAAUGAACCGACCAAUCCUAGAAGAAUAGGAAGGCAAGUGUAAAGAGGUAAUUAGUCACGAGGUAUAAAACAGAAGUAAGCAGGUAGGCGAGGAUGCAAGCAGGCAGGCGACGAUGCAAGCAGGCAGGCGACGAUGCAAGCAGACAAGCAGGCAAUAGUCCCUUUCACAUUUCCCUGCGCCAUAUUAAAAGGUAGCUGUGCCUUUGCAUCGAAGCGAGGCGAACGGUGAGCAGGCAAUGAUAGAGACUUUUUUUAACACCUUGGACAAUUAUUCACAUGUCUCUAUGCAUAAAGACACAGCUACCUUUCAAGAUGGCGCAGGGAACUGUGAAGGGGACUGUUAUGCAGACAAUCGUUGGGGCAAGUAUAGGUAAUGGAUCAUAUCCAAAAAAUGAACAUAUUAACAGCAGGCGUUGCGAAAAGAAAUCUCGCUACGACAGUAAAACGUUUUGUAGCAAAAAAAAAAAAAAAAAAAACAUCUUAAUUGUGAUGCAUAAAAGUGAUAAAAAGAAACACUAAAUCUACCUGUUUCCUAAAUCCUUUUUUGUUAUUUUUAACAGGUUUUUUCGUGCAUAAUUGAUUACAAUAUAAUUUGCGGUUUUUUUAAAUGGUUAAUGUAAAAUGAUGCCUUUCUUCUCUUUAUUUACUUGUUAGCUGAUUAUGAUUAUUGCAACUAUUAAUUUACGAUCAGCUUUCAUUCUUUCUAUAUAAUUGUUGAUAGACGUUUCGACCAGUGGUAAAAAUCAUUUCAUGAUAUACUCGUACAAUAAGUAGUGCUCGAAUGCGUCGAUAAUUAUUUCAAUUUUCAGCAUUCGCUCCACUAUUACACACACUCUAUUCUUAAUAUUCGUGCCGCCAAGAUUGUCGUCUGUAUAUUAGUAAAGAGUAAUUUUCUUUCUAUAUUUGUGCGAAAGAUUUUCGUCUGUUUGUAUAUUUAUAAAAGUUAACAACUUGUGA
Actinia tenebrosa (Australian red waratah sea anemone) is the source of this 1853-nucleotide long non-coding RNA. Lineage: Eukaryota; Metazoa; Cnidaria; Anthozoa; Actiniaria; Actiniidae. The record is from RefSeq and is a predicted model, not a curated record.